Molecule: small nuclear RNA, 115 nt
Gene: U2
Rfam family: U2 spliceosomal RNA
About the family: U2 is a small nuclear RNA (snRNA) component of the spliceosome (involved in pre-mRNA splicing).
Source: Ensembl
AUCGCUUCUCGGCCUUUUGGCUAAGAUCAAGUGUAGAAAAUAUAAGGGUGUAGAAAAAAAGUUUUUUCUCUCUUACAGUAUAUCUUGCAUAUGAAUAUAAAUAUAUGCACACAAA